UACGUAGGGUGCAAGCGUUAAUCGGAAUUACUGGGCGUAAAGCGUGCGCAGGCGUUUGUGUAAGUCUGUCGUGAAAUCCCCGGGCUCAACCUGGGAAUUGCGAUGGAGACUGCACGGCUAGAGUGUGUCAGAGGGGGGUAGAAUUCCACGUGUAGCAGUGAAAUGCGUAGAUAUGUGGAGGAACACCGAUGGCGAAGGCAGCCCCCUGGGAUAACACUGACGCUCAUGCACGAAAGCGUGGGGAGCAAACAGG
RNAcentral lists this ribosomal RNA (253 nucleotides) under uncultured bacterium. RNAcentral's name for it is "partial 16S ribosomal RNA". It matches the Rfam family "Bacterial small subunit ribosomal RNA", at positions 524 to 776 of the family's 1533-position model. The record is from RNAcentral.